Molecule: ribosomal RNA, 2504 nt
Filed under: Sophiothrips sp. TH54
Lineage: Eukaryota; Metazoa; Arthropoda; Insecta; Thysanoptera; Phlaeothripidae
Description: eukaryotic LSU rRNA
Rfam family: Eukaryotic large subunit ribosomal RNA
Source: RNAcentral
GAAACUAACAAGGAUUCCGUCAGUAGCGGCGAGCGAAGACGGAAGAGCCCAGCGCUGAAUCCCCCGGUCCGGACUGGGCCGGCGGGAAAUGUAGCGUUAGGGGGUGCCCGAUUUCAAAACUCGGUGCGCGUGCGGCGAGCCCAAGUCUCCCUUGAACGGUGCCAUCAUCCACAGAGGGUGCCAGGCCCGUACGGCCGCCGCCGCGUCCGGGUGGGUAGAUCAACUAUCCCCUGGGAGUCGGUCUGCUUGAGAACGCAGACCUAAGCGGGUGGUAAACUCCAUCUAAGGCUAAAUACGACCACGAGACCGAUAGCGCACAAGUACCGUGAGGGAAAGGUGAAAAGAACUUUGAAGAGAGAGUUCAAGAGUACGUGAAACUGGAGAGGUGAAAACGGAAGUGGCUCGAAGUUCCGAACGGUGGCGUUCAGUCUCACCGAUCACUCUCGGCACCUCCCCCUUCAAAGAGGCCGGAGAACAAUCUGGGGUCGGCACUGGCGGGAAUCAGCGGCGGCGUCUUGCGGCGGGUCUUCGGGCCCGUUCGUCGGCGUCGUCGUCUCUCGUCGCUCUGUCGGCUUCCACCUCCAGGUCACGGGGUGUAGCGUCGCCGAGGCGGUGUGGAUGCACUCGCUGCCGUAGUAGGAUGUCGCGACUCGUCGGGUGACGGUCGUGAGGCCGGUUGGGACAGCCCGGUGUCCGUGAGUCUCGCACCCCUGGGGCAAAAGGCGAGCAGUGCGGCCCGGACCCAUGCCGUGAUUCCUCUCCGUCUGCCCGACGGUAUCGAAAGCGUGUCGGCGCGGCCAAGCCGGGCUAUCAACGGGCGUCGCUUUCAUUGCUUCGCCCAGGCCCGUGCCCAAAAAACGUAAGCCGCCGGCUGUCUGCGGCAUUGCCCGAUUCGGGUCCACUUCCGACCCGUCUUGAAACACGGACCAAGGAGCGUAACACAUGCGCGAGUCGAAGGGUAUGUACGAAACCCGGAGGCGAAGCGAAAGCGUAUGGGGCGAUGGGUUUAAGGUCGUGCUCUGUCGCCGGUUCGUCCGGCGACAUCCGGCCACCUCGCAGCCCCGGGGCACCUCAUGCGGCCCUGGUCGUCUCCCCCGUCUCCCUCACGGGGGGCGGGAUCAGUCGGGACUUCCUGGGUCGAGGCGCACCUGAGAGCGUAUGUGUUGCUACCCGAAAGAUGGUGAACUAUGCCUGGCCAGGACGAAGCCAGGGGAAACCCUGGUGGAAGUCCGUAGCGAUUCUGACGUGCAAAUCGAUCGUCGGAGCUGGGUAUAGGGGCGAAAGACUAAUCGAACCAUCUAGUAGCUGGUUCCCUCCGAAGUUUCCCUCAGGAUAGCUGGCACUCGGAGAAUUAUCUGUGAAAGAGGCUCAACGAGUCUCAUCCGGUAAAGCGAAUGAUUAGAGGCCUUGGGGCCGAAACGACCUCAACCUAUUCUCAAACUUUAAAUGGGUGAGAACCCCGGCUUGCUUGAGAGGGGGUGUGUUCGUCGUCGCGUUCGCGGUUGAGUUGGGUAUAUCCCUUCCAGUCCGGCGUGCUUCGUUCCCCUCCGUCGUUGCCUCUUGAAGCCGGGGACUCUGGAUCAUGAGUGCCAAGUGGGCCAAUUUUGGUAAGCAGAACUGGCGCUGUGGGAUGAACCAAACGCAGAGUUAAAGCGCCUAAAUCGACGCUCAUGGGAGACCAUGAAAGGUGUUGGUUGCUUAAGACAGCAGGACGGUGGCCAUGGAAGUCGGAAUCCGCUAAGGAGUGUGUAACAACUCACCUGCCGAAGCAACUAGCCCUUAAAAUGGAUGGCGCUAAAGCGUCGUGCUUAUACUCUGCCGCCGGUGGCAAAAGCGGCCGGUAAGGCGGACGGCCUCGUCUCUUGAGUCGAGAAACCGGCCCCGAGCCUUGAGGCCCCGGUGAGUAGGAGGGUCGCUCGGGUGUGCGCAGAAGGGUCUGGGCGUGAGCCUGCCUGGAGCCGCCCGAGGUGCAGAUCUUGGUGGUAGUAGCAAAUACUCCAGAGAGGGCCCUGGAGGGCUGAUGCGGAGAAGGGUUCCGUGUGAACAGCUGUUGCACACGGGUCAGUCGAUCCUAAGCCCUAGGAGAACUCCUAUGUGCGAUGUGCGGAUGUCUUUUUCUUAUCGAAAUGAUUCUUCCGUCGCCGGGCGAAAGGGAAUCAGGUUCCUAUUCCUGAACCCAGAUGCGGUACCGUUCUUACCGGGCUUGUCUCGAAGCCGGUGGGUGGCCGGUCGCCUCUGCGCUUCCGCGUCCAUGUUGCCGUGCCUAGGGCGAACUCGUCGGGGUAACCCGAACAGCCGCGGAGAAGCCGGCAGGAGCCCCCGGGAGAGUUGUCUUUUCUGUAUUACCGCGCAAGUUCCCUGGAAUUCCAUUGCGGAGAGAGAGGGAAUAGCGCGGGAAGAGCACCGCACUUGCGGCGGUGUCGGGGGUGGCCUCUCGGACCAUGAAAAUCCGCGUGAGGGCCACGGAGAACAACCGAUCUGGCUCGUACCCAUAUCCGCAGCCG